Molecule: ribosomal RNA, 403 nt
Filed under: bacterium
Lineage: Bacteria
Description: partial 16S ribosomal RNA
Rfam family: Bacterial small subunit ribosomal RNA
Source: RNAcentral
UGGGGAAUAUUGCACAAUGGGGGAAACCCUGAUGCAGCGACGCCGCGUGAACGAAGAAGGUAUUCGUAUCGUAAAGUGCUGUCCUAUGGGAAGAUAAUGACAGUACCAUAGAAGAAAGCUCCGGCUAAAUACGUGCCAGCAGCCGCGGUAAUACGAAUGGAGCGAGCGUUGUCCGGAAUUAUUGGGCGUAAAGGGUACGCAGGCGGUUUAAUAAGUCGAAUGUUAAAGAUCGGGGCUCAACCCCGCAAAGCAUUGGAAACUGAUAAACUUGAGUAGUGGAGAGGAAAGUGGAAUUCCUAGUGUAGUGGUGAAAUACGUAGAUAUUAGGAGGAAGACCAGUAGCGAAGGCGACUUUCUGGACACAAACUGACGCUGAGGUACGAAAGCGUGGGGAGCAAACAGG